UUCGGGGUACUCGAGUGGCGAACGGGUGAGUAACACGUGGGUGAUCUGCCCUGCACUUUGGGAUAAGCCUGGGAAACAGGGUCUAAUACCGAAUAGGACCACGCGCUUCAUGGUGUGUGGUGGAAAGCUUUUGCGGUGUGGGAUGGGCCCGCGGCCUAUCAGCUUGUUGGUGGGGUAAUGGCCUACCAAGGCGACGACGGGUAGCCGGCCUGAGAGGGUGACCGGCCACACUGGGACUGAGAUACGGCCCAGACUCCUACGGGAGGCAGCAGUGGGGAAUAUUGCACAAUGGGCGCAAGCCUGAUGCAGCGACGCCGCGUGAGGGAUGACGGCCUUCGGGUUGUAAACCUCUUUCAAUAGGGACGAAGCGCAAGUGACGGUACCUNNAGAAGAAGCACCGGCCAACUACGUGCCAGCAGCCGCGGUAAUACGUAGGGUGCGAGCGUUGUCCGGAAUUACUGGGCGUAAAGAGCUCGUAGGUGGUUUGUCGCGUUGUUCGUGAAAACUCACAGCUUAACUGUGGGCGUGCGGGCGAUACGGGCAGACUAGAGUACUGCAGGGGAGACUGGAAUUCCUGGUGUAGCGGUGGAAUGCGCAGAUAUCAGGAGGAACACCGGUGGCGAAGGCGGGUCUCUGGGCAGUAACUGACGCUGAGGAGCGAAAGCGUGGGGAGCGAACAGGAUUAGAUACCCUGGUAGUCCACGCCGUAAACGGUGGGUACUAGGUGUGGGUUCCUUCCUUGGGAUCCGUGCCGUAGCUAACGCAUUAAGUACCCCGCCUGGGGAGUACGGCCGCAAGGCUAAAACUCAAAGGAAUUGACGGGGGCCCGCACAAGCGGCGGAGCAUGUGGAUUAAUUCGAUGCAACGCGAAGAACCUUACCUGGGUUUGACAUGCACAGGACGCCGGCAGAGAUGUCGGUUCCCUUGUGGCCUGUGUGCAGGUGGUGCAUGGCUGUCGUCAGCUCGUGUCGUGAGAUGUUGGGUUAAGUCCCGCAACGAGCGCAACCCUUGUCCUAUGUUGCCAGCGGGUUAUGCCGGGGACUCGUAGGAGACUGCCCGGGGUCAACUCGGAGGAAGGUGGGGAUGACGUCAAGUCAUCAUGCCCCUUAUGUCCAGGGCUUCACACAUGCUACAAUGGCCGGUACAAAGGGCUGCGAUGCCGUGAGGUGGAGCGAAUCCUUUCAAAGCCGGUCUCAGUUCGGAUCGGGGUCUGCAACUCGACCCCGUGAAGUCGGAGUCGCUAGUAAUCGCAGAUCAGCAACGCUGCGGUGAAUACGUUCCCGGGCCUUGUACACACCGCCCGUCACGUCAUGAAAGUCGGUAACACCCGAAGCC
RNAcentral lists this ribosomal RNA (1335 nucleotides) under Mycobacterium sp. DWMJ-1448A1. Its description in RNAcentral is "bacterial SSU rRNA". It matches the Rfam family "Bacterial small subunit ribosomal RNA", at positions 81 to 1428 of the family's 1533-position model. Lineage: Bacteria; Bacillati; Actinomycetota; Actinomycetes; Mycobacteriales; Mycobacteriaceae. The record is from RNAcentral.